This is a long non-coding RNA of Ictalurus furcatus (blue catfish), 669 nucleotides long. RefSeq lists it as uncharacterized. The transcript has 3 exons. Lineage: Eukaryota; Metazoa; Chordata; Actinopteri; Siluriformes; Ictaluridae. The record is from RefSeq and is a predicted model, not a curated record.
CCACAAGCUACAUGACACUACGUACAUCGCCGUGUUGCCUUAAAAAACGUGUGUUUGUUUUUUUUUGUUUUGUUUUCUUAUAAACAUAACCACAACUGACUCACUGACUCGGGGUGAAGUCUAAACUGCAAACCUGCGGCCUUCACCGCGCACCUGUCGGCCAGAUAAAUUACCUGGACGCACAGUGGCACCUCUCAAGCGGUAUAUCAGGCAACGAGUGAACGGUCGGUUCUCAAAGUUGACGUGUUGGAAGAAGGAAAAAUGGGUGAGCGUAAGGAUCUGAGCGGCUUUGACAAGGUCCAGAUUGCGAUGGCGAGACGACCGGGUCAGAGCAUCUCCAAAACGGCAGGUCUUGUGGGGUGUUCCCGGUAUGCAGGGGUUACUACCUAUGAAAAGUGGUCCAAGGAAGGACAAGCGUUGAACUGGUGACAGGGUCAUGGACACCCAAGGCUCAUUGACGUGCGUGUUGAGCGAAGGCUAGCCCGUCUGAUCCGAUCACACAGAAGAGCUACUGUAGCACAAACUGCUGAAAAAGUUAACGCUGGCUCUGAUAGAAAGGAGCCAGGACAUCACAGCUUGCUGCGUACAAGUCCCCCGUAUUAAGUCUAAUCUGGUUUCCGUACGAGAUGACCAGGAGCAUCGUUAUGUUACAUUUGACCAGGAGCGAAC